UCCCCGUUGCCGAGGCAGUCUAGUUAGAAAAAUUCAACUAACUACAAGGGUUGCGCUCGUUGAUGGACUUAACCAAACAUCUCACGACACGAGCUGACGACGGCCAUGCAACACCUGUCACUUGGUUCCGAGGCACUCUCGCCUUUCGGCAAAAUUCCAAGGAUGUCAAGCCUGGGUAAGGUUCUUCGCUUAUCAUCGAAUUAAACAACACGCUCCACCGCUUGUGCGGGUCCCCGUCAAUUCCUUUAUGUUUUAAGCUUGCGCUCGUACUCCACAGGCGGGAUGCUUAACGCGUUAGCUUCGCCACGCACCGGGUCGAUACGGUACACGGCUAGCAUCCAUAGUUUACGGCGUGGACUAC
RNAcentral lists this unclassified non-coding RNA (361 nucleotides) under uncultured bacterium. Its description in RNAcentral is "contains 16S-23S intergenic spacer region". The record is from RNAcentral.